UCUAGAUUCUCUUUUCCCCUGGUAACAGCCAACCUCUAUGAAUUUCUCUUUCACAAUUCUUAUCAUUUUUACUUUAAUCUUAUCUUCUCCUACCUCAUAAACAUAACAUCCUACACCACUUCUAUUCUUUCUUUGUCCACAAUAUAAAAUUAUAAACCUUUUUGAAACUUACUAUUUGUAUUGUAGACAAUAAUUGAACACAUAAUUUCUGUUCAUUGCAACAAAACUCUAGAUAUCUUAAUAGGAACUAUUUUGUUUAAGGCCGUAUAGUGUUUGCAUUUAGUACUGUUAGUAUUGGUCUCCCCCUUUAAAGGCAAGGAACUGAAAACCUUCAGGAAUGGUAUGAGUGUACAGGGAAGAAACUGUAAUGCCUCAGAUUCACACUGCUAGAUGGGCAGAUGCAUGAACAACAUGGAAAAACAAUGUAUGCCCCAAACUAAGAUGGUCCAAUAAUAAAAUCCAUUGACAACAUAGUAGAAGAAAUGUGAAAUGUCAGGGAAGAAGUUUGGAAUGUGCAUAAUUAAACUGAUCUGUGACAUAAAGAAUGAUAUAAGGAAUGAAAUCAGAGAUAAAUUUCGGGAGAUGAACAAAUAUAUCAAUAAAAUGAGAUCCUGAAAAGAAAUCAAGCAGAAAUUCUCAAAAUAAAGGAAUCAAUAAACUAAAUUAAAAAUUCAAUUGAAAGCACCAUGAACAGACUAGAUCACUUGCAAACAGAGUUUCGGGCAAUGAACAUGAAAUAUACAAUGUUGAAAAUAAAGUUGACCAUGCAGAGAAGAUGGUAAGAAACCAUGAAGAGAACUUCCAAGAGUUAUGAGAUAACAUGAAAAGACCAAGUUUAAGAUUUAUCAGGAUAGAUGAAGGCACAGAUAUACAAACCAAAGGAAUGCACAAUCUUUGCAAUGAAAUAAUAUCAGAAAACUUCUCAAACCUAAAGAUGGAAUGGAAAUUCAAAUACAAGAGACCUAUAGAACCCCAAAUGUACAAAAUAAAACAUACAUACACCAAGGCACAUUAUAAUGAAAAUGCUUUACAUACAGAAUAAGAAUAGAAUUUUAAAAGUGUGAGAAAAAUAUCAUAUUAUGUAUAGGUGGAAAACUAUUUGGAUCUCAGCUGAUUUCCUCAACUCAGACCCUCAAGACUAGGAGGUUCUGGAACAAUAUAUACCAAGCUCUGAAAGAAAAUGGACGCCAACCUAGAAUUCUACAUCCAGCAAAAUUAAGCUUAAGAUUUGAAAUUGAAGUAAAAAUCUUCCAUGAUAAAUAAAAGUUAAACAACUAGAAAGGAUGCACUACAGAACCUUCUCAACAAAAUAUUCAAUAAAGAUGAGAUGAAAAAAAAAGUAAAAAUCAGCAAAGGGAAAAACUACAUUAGAUUAACAGUCAACCAAAGGAUAAACUAAUUCAAAUUAAAAAUGAGAAAUAAACAAAAAUAACCAGGAAUAAAAAU
This 1446-nucleotide long non-coding RNA is filed under the name Marmota monax (woodchuck). Lineage: Eukaryota; Metazoa; Chordata; Mammalia; Rodentia; Sciuridae. The record is from RNAcentral.